GGAUGAAAGAAGCCACUUUCUUGGGACCUGCAGUCUGACUGUGCAGGCCUGUGAAAUCUCUGCUAUUUAGCGGAAAUCCGCUAUUUUCAUUUUUAAGACCGAUUUCAAUUUCCGCUUUUUUCCUGUGUUCCAUUUCCGUUUUUUCUAAGUCAAAAUUCCGCUAUUUUAUCCAAAACGGCUGGAAAACAAGUCUAGGUAAAUGGAUGCAAGCAGAAUGUGUGUGUUGUGAAUUUACACGUUACGGGGCCUUGUAUUUUGCCUUCACGAAGUUUCGAAUUUUUAGUGUAACUCUAUGAAACUGCUGCAGAUCACACCGUGCACUGUUGCCGUUGGCAUAUGGGCCCGUCAAUCUGUAUGCAUUGUCAGCGGACGGAAACCGCAUACAACACAGGGAAAUCAUUGCGUGUGGCCGUGUGCACGUUGUUGGUUACGUACAUGUACAUACGAUCGAGACUCGCGAGUGAAUGAACCAUUUCACUUGUUCGGGAUGUUUACGAAGUUAGUGUUUUGAACUUUCUUACUUUGGAGUUUGGACUUUGUUGUUUAAAUUCUUGAAUCAUUGGAAAUAUUUCUAUGACUUUCAAAAUGUCUGUUGAACAUAAAUGUGUAAUCGUUCAGAGAGGGUCGCCUUUGGAUACCGAUGAAGAUAAAAAGUGCAGCGACAUUUCUAAUCCGUGGAAAUGGUCCUGGAUGGAAUACACCGUGAAUCGUGAUGGGCAUAUGCAGCGGCUUGGCGAUAGUAAAUAGUAAGUGUGGUGAGAUUAAUUCAACAGUAUCUGAAGGAAGCUGGUCUACCUCGGACCUUAGCCAUCCUUCAGGAAGAAUCAACUGUAUCACUCAAUACGGUAGAUAGCAUUGACCAGUUCAUCACUGAUAUCAACAGUGGUCAUUGGGACACUGUCCUUCAGCAAAUACAGUCACUCAAGCUUCCAGACAAGACCCUGAUUGACCUCUAUGAACAGGUAUGACCCCCGUCCCCCUGAAAAAUACUGGAAAAUAGCGCUGUUAUUGAUAACCUCAUUAUUGUGAUAUUGAUAACCUUUCAUUGUCAAUAAUAUUCGCUGUUAUGGAGGGACAUGACAAUGAUUUUCCGCGAUUUCACAGAAUUCAUGGAAACAGGCUUUUGAAAGUGGCUUUUUAAACGGAAAUUCAUGGAAAAACAUAAUUUUCCUCGGAAUGCACAGAACAGCAACAAAAAUUUCUCCAAAUCCUCAACAAAUAACGAAUACAAUA
Lytechinus variegatus (green sea urchin) is the source of this 1233-nucleotide RNA transcript. It is a transcript of the gene named WD40 repeat-containing protein SMU1-like, with no coding region annotated. The record is from RefSeq and is a predicted model, not a curated record. The transcript is spliced from 2 exons. NCBI's taxonomy places the organism in Eukaryota, Metazoa, Echinodermata, Echinoidea, Temnopleuroida, Toxopneustidae.